Molecule: long non-coding RNA, 1118 nt
Filed under: Mytilus galloprovincialis (Mediterranean mussel)
Lineage: Eukaryota; Metazoa; Mollusca; Bivalvia; Mytilida; Mytilidae
Source: RNAcentral
AUUUAAUAUAUAAUCAUAUCCAAGAUUGUAUUUUCGGAGCAUAUGAUUGUUUAAGGGUUUUUAAUUAUUUAUAGAAUGAUAGUUUUAAGCGCGCAUUUUAUUUGUAACAUAAAAAUUAAUUCUAAAUGCACCAUGUAGUGUUUGCUACAGGAAAAUUCAUAUCAAGCCCCCGAGUUUAACUUCCGGUAAACUGUCAAGCGAAAACUAUUUGUAAACAAGUUGUCAUCCCAAGCAGCUAGAUGAUCAGGAAAAGUUUCUCACAGAUUGAUGUAUGUAAAUUCAUACAAAAAAAUGAAAAAUGAGAACACAAUGAAAAGAAAUUUAGAAAGUUACGAAUCUGCUGUUGUUGAAAAAAAUGUAAAAAUCAACAGUGGAAAUCACAAAAGUUACUGUACGUCAUAAAGAAUUUAGAAAAUAUAUGACCCCUCAGGAAAAGUUAUUGUUGUAAUAUGACAUCGAAAGUUCAAACGGAACAUAUUUCUAAAUCAUAGUAGCAAAAUGGUGUAUUCUUCCUCAGCAUUAUUUGGAAAUGUAACACUUUAAGUCGUUUAAUAUUUACAAUUCUGAGAAUUAAUAUAUUUAUUGUGAAUUAUUUGUUAAACUUUUCACAAAACUUUGUUUACUCACUGUGAUACAAACUUGGUUUACUCGUUGUGAUACAAAUUUGGCAUUGCAUUUGUUUAAAUAAUUAAAUUUAACUGUCAAGAGUGGAGAAAUAUCGUAAUACACAAGUUAUAGUGUCAGAAUCUGUUUCUCUGAUGAUUUUAAUCAUUCUUUUUCAAAGAUUUCCAGAAACUUGUAUUCUUUAUAUGUGACGUCAUCAGGCAAGGUCGCCUUUUUUCAUGACGUCAAAAUAGGAAAAUUGAGAAGAAAGCAAAACAUUUUGAAGUCAUAAUCAAAUUUCGACUAAUCAUUUGCCGAGAACAGAUUUUUCACUAGUGAGGAGAAAUAUUUUUCUCACACUAGUCAGGAAAUGUGAAAAUAGAACAAACAUUAGAGAAACAAAUUUUGAUAACUCACUGUGAUACAUUUUUCAAAUUUUUUCCGUUAAAUGUUUUUUGGAAUUUUUGUUGAAAAUAUCAAACAUAAUUUGGUUUAAUGCUAUCUUUUUUCUCUUG